CCUACGGGGGGCUGCAGUGAGGAAUAUUGGUCAAUGGACGCAAGUCUGAACCAGCCAUGCCGCGUGCAGGAAGACGGCUCUAUGAGUUGUAAACUGCUUUUGUACGAGGGUAAACGCAGAUACGCGUAUCUGUCUGAAAGUAUCGUACGAAUAAGGAUCGGCUAACUCCGUGCCAGCAGCCGCGGUAAUACGGAGGAUUCAAGCGUUAUCCGGAUUUAUUGGGUUUAAAGGGUGCGUAGGCGGUCGGAUAAGUUAGAGGUGAAAUCCCGAGGAUCGACGGCGGAAUUGCCUCGGAUACGGGUCGGGUAGAGAGUAGUGGCGGUAGGGGGAAGGUAUGGUGUAGCGGUGAGAUGGUUAGAG
RNAcentral lists this ribosomal RNA (360 nucleotides) under uncultured bacterium. RNAcentral describes it as "partial 16S ribosomal RNA". It matches the Rfam family "Bacterial small subunit ribosomal RNA", at positions 338 to 695 of the family's 1533-position model. The record is from RNAcentral.